UAACACCAGCGCCACGAGUGGGAACCAUUUUUAUUUGGCCUAAAGCGCCCGUAGCUGGCUUGGUAAAUCUCUUGUGAAAUCGACAAGCUCAACUUGUCGGCGUGCAUGAGACACUACCUGGCUUGAGACCGGGAGGGGUAUGGAGUAUUCUUAGGGGACCGGUAAAAUGGGAUAAUCCUAGGAAGACUACCUGUGGCGAAGGCGCCAUACCAGAACGGGUCUGACAGUGAGGGACGAAGGCUAGGGGAGCGAACCGGAUUAGAUACCCGAGUAGUCCUAGCAGUAAACGCUGUGGGCUAGGUGUUGCGCAAUCUACGUGAUUGUGCAGUAUCGAAGCGAAGGCAUUAAGCCCACCGCCUGGGAAGUAUGGUCGCAAGACUG
Molecule: ribosomal RNA, 381 nt
Filed under: uncultured Halobacteria archaeon
Lineage: Archaea; Methanobacteriati; Methanobacteriota; Halobacteria
Description: bacterial SSU rRNA
Rfam family: Archaeal small subunit ribosomal RNA
Source: RNAcentral